AGUCGACGGUAACUUGGUGCUUGCACCAGAUGACGAGUGGCGCACGGGUGCGUAACGCGUAUGCAACCUACCUUUUACUAGAGUAUAGCCCAGAGAAAUUUGGAUUAAUCCUCUAUAAUAUCUUUUAAUUUCAUGAUUAAUUGAUUAAAGUUUUAACGGUAAAAGAUGGGCAUGCGUCCUAUUAGUUUGUAGGUGAGGUAACGGCUCACCUAGACUACGAUAGGUAGGGGCCCUGAGAGGGGGAUCCCCCACACUGGUACUGAGACACGGACCAGACUCCUACGGGAGGCAGCAGUAAGGAAUAUUGGACAAUGGACGAAAGUCUGAUCCAGCCAUGCCGCGUGCAGGAUGAAAGCCCUAUGGGUUGUAAACUGCUUUUAUACAGGAAGAAACACUCCGACUUGUCGGAGCUUGACGGUACUGUAAGAAUAAGGAUCGGCUAACUCCGUGCCAGCAGCCGCGGUAAUACGGAGGAUCCAAGCGUUAUCCGGAAUCAUUGGGUUUAAAGGGUCCGCAGGCGGUCUUUUAAGUCAGAGGUGAAAGCCUACAGCUCAACUGUAGAACGGCCUUUGAUACUGAAAGACUUGAGUUAUUGUGAAGUGGUUAGAAUGUGUGGUGUAGCGGUGAAAUGCAUAGAUAUCACACAGAAUACCGAUUGCGAAGGCAGAUCACUAACAAUAUACUGACGCUCAUGGACGAAAGCGUGGGGAGCGAACAGGAUUAGAUACCCUGGUAGUCCACGCCGUANACGAUGGAUACUAGCUGUUCGUCUAACAUUGGUUAGAUGAGUGGCUAAGCGAAAGUGAUAAGUAUCCCACCUGGGG
This 824-nucleotide ribosomal RNA is filed under the name uncultured marine bacterium. RNAcentral's name for it is "bacterial SSU rRNA". It matches the Rfam family "Bacterial small subunit ribosomal RNA", at positions 60 to 878 of the family's 1533-position model. The record is from RNAcentral.